UUGUGGAGGAGGACGCCGAAGGUGGGGCUAAUGACUGGGGUGAAGUCGUAACAAGGUAGCCGUACCGGAAGGUGCGGCUGGAUCACCUCCUAACAGGGAGACAACAAAAUGUUAAAUAUUAUUAUUUUGUCACCUUAGGUCGAUCGGUAUCUCACGUUCUUAAUUUAUUAAGAAUUUCAUUUCCUAAGUUUUUCUAGGUCACACCCAUUAUUUUUCCUGGGCCAUUAGCUCAGGUGGUUAGAGCGCACCCCUGAUAAGGGUGAGGUCCCUGGUUCAAGUCCAGGAUGGCCCAUAUCUCUAUGUUGGGGGUAUAGCUCAGUUGGUAGAGCGCCUGCUUUGCAAGCAGGAUGUCAGCGGUUCGAGUCCGCUUACCUCCACUGAUUACCACCUCUUCCAUAACCGGUAGAAAGGAAAUGUUUUGAGUUGUGAUUAUUAUUCUGAACGAAUCUAGCUUCCUAAUGAAAUCAUUAAGAUGCUGGACUCAUUGAAUUAAUUUCAUUGUUUUCAGAGAACCUUGACAACUGCAUAGAUUAUUUUUAAAGACAAUAAGCAUCUUUAAUGAUGCAGAUUUAUUAUUUGUGCUAAUGCAUUAAUAACAAUUCUAUUGAGCUGAUGCUUCAAUUUUGAAGUUAUUGGUCAAGCUACAA
Molecule: unclassified non-coding RNA, 647 nt
Filed under: uncultured Prochlorococcus sp.
Lineage: Bacteria; Bacillati; Cyanobacteriota; Cyanophyceae; Synechococcales; Prochlorococcaceae
Description: partial 16S-23S ribosomal RNA intergenic spacer; may also contain 16S ribosomal RNA and 23S ribosomal RNA
Rfam family: tRNA (bases 305-377)
Source: RNAcentral